UGUACUUAUAUUUGGUGAUGAUGAUUUUGAUGAUGAUGAUAUAUAGAGUUGGUGAUGAUAAUGAUUGACAUGACUGCAAAAGAUGACACCUAAGUGCUGUUUGUACUUUUACUGUCUUUUUUUCAUUGGAUGAAUUUCAAUCAAGGCUUAUGCAAUUAAAUGUGUACAUAUGUUUCAAUUAGCCUGACCAUGGUUUAAUCAAUUUGUAUUUGGUUCAUUUACAAUGAUUUGGAAACUUAUUCAAGUGGCAUAUCCGUGCAUCUUGUUUCAAAAUGAAAAUGGAGUUGCAGAUCUACUUUUACGGGGGAUCUAGCCACUGUGUAUAGACAAAUAAUGAGUUAUAAGGUUUUACUAGUAGUAUUUCUUGUUAGAUGAAUUUCAAGUGAGUUUAGUGCUAUUGGAUUGCAUACAAGCAUUACUUCAGUGUGUGUGAUGACUGGUGCAUGAAGAGCUUUAUACGGACAAGCCAAUGGGGCAAAGCUAUUCCUUCUGCAUAUGGGAGCUAUUCUUUCGCUCCAUCAUUCCUCCUUCUGGAAUGGUUUGCUUGGAAAUUACUUAUUUGUGCUACUAGCCCACUACAUGCCACAUGCAUUUGGAGCCACAGAAAAGUUUUCACUAAACGUGUUUCCUUACGCCUGAACUUAUCUAAGCACUUGGGCUUCAAAUGAGUUGGGAGGUGGGAAUCCACAAGCCAGCUAAAAUGACUUUCAAGAUUGUUAUGGUUCUUGUAGAUGGUUAUCAUAGGUAUGAUUCUCUUCUUUUGCCGCAAUGUUUUGGGCUAUAUGCCUUCAGCAGAGAGAAGGAAGUUUUGGAUCAUGAUUUGUCUCUCUAUAAUCAUGGAUGGCUUACUAGCAGUACUUUCAGGGUAACUUUCUCACAUUUCUCUCAUGUAAUGGGCUUUAACCUGGAGCAAAACUUUUGAAUUUCUGACUUAUUUAUUCAAGGGGUUGCUAGAGGAAGUGGCAGGUAGCAUAUAGGAGCAUAUGUCAAUUUUGGGGCAUGUUAUCUGGUUGGGGUUCGAUUAGUCAUUGUUUUGGCCUUUAUUGUACACUGAAGAGGGAAAGGCCUGUAGAGUGGACUAUUGACAUUGUGCACCGUACAAGUAUUUCUAUUUCUACUUGCUCUUACAACAAGUUUCACAAAUUGGCAAAAAAAAUUUAUUAUUGCCAAGAAAAAAAAAAAUCUCCCUUUCUUUAUAAUUGGU
Molecule: long non-coding RNA, 1204 nt
Organism: Quercus lobata
Lineage: Eukaryota; Viridiplantae; Streptophyta; Magnoliopsida; Fagales; Fagaceae
Exons: 4
Source: RefSeq, a predicted model, not a curated record